AGUCAAUGAACUUGUAUAAGUAUAUAUUUUGAAAGUAUAAAAAAAGAAUAAUAAUCUUAUUGACUU
This 66-nucleotide transfer RNA is filed under the name Luciola kagiana. Its description in RNAcentral is "tRNA-Ser". Lineage: Eukaryota; Metazoa; Arthropoda; Insecta; Coleoptera; Lampyridae. The record is from RNAcentral.